AAAUAGGAAGAAGUAACUCAGUUGUCACAUCAGAUGAUGAAAUUAAGUUUUUUAUUCCCUGACUAAAUCUUCCAUCUGGCAGCAAUGACCACCAAGUUUCAACCAGGACCAUGAAGCCCAGCUGAAGACUGCUCACUACUGGAGUACUGCUGAGGGCAGCAAUCCUUCUCCACUCUUUGGCACUGGAGAGGCUGCACCUGGAGCACUGUGCCCAGUUUGGGGCUCCUCAGUAGAAGAGAGAGGCUAAGACUACUGCAAUACUGAAUAUACAAUUGCUCAUGUACUCUUCAGAUUCUUUUUUUAAUUUACCCUUGCACAUUUUCAUUUAUUGCAAUGUCAGGAAGGCAUGACAGUUUCAUUGCAUGUGUGGAUGAAACAAAAUAUGAAGGAUAAGCAUUGCCUUUAAGCAGACAAAAGAAAGACAUUGCUGGCAUUUAUCAAGAGAAGACACACAGCACAGCCUUGCAUAAAUAAUGGCACUGGGCCAAGUACAGCUGAGGUGGUUGCCAGCACAACUCCAUUGAAGUCAAAGGAAUUGCACCACGGGUGUUCCCUUCUGCCCCAUGUCACCCUUUCCCUCCAAGACUACAAAGGUGCCUGUGUCAAAGAAGAGGGAGCACAUAAUGAGUCCUGCUCUGUCAUGGAGAAGCAAAGAAGGCCACUGUUCUUGCAUGUCUUGUACACUUUUUCUUUGGCAAGUUAUCAGAUUUUCUUGAUGUCUUUACUUGUUCCUUGCAAUGGAGAUGUCUACUGGCUGCUUAAUGAGGUUUUGAAUGACAGUCUCUGCAUCCAAAAUAAUGGGUCUAAGUAUUACAGUAUUUGAAUCAAUAUUCAGCAGAUAAGAAAUAACUAGGGGUGGAGAAAGGUGUUCUCUUUCUCACACACAUACACAGUUAAUCUCAUCUUGUCUGGGACCUAGAAAUGUGUUUAUGCUUAGAUCUUCAUGUUUCUCACUCCAAAGCACUUAUUUUACCAAUGUUAAGAAGAGGUAACAGAGUCUGACUUGCUAAACUUGACUGCAUAACUCAGCCAGUAGUGACCUUUGAACACAGGAAAUAUUAUGGUGAAUUUUGCUUUGAAAGGUAGCCACAGGUAAUGGAAUCACAGAGAUUUUGCUGCUUGCUAGAGCAAGAGUAAGCUUGUGACAAAAUUAAGCCUUUUAUUUCUUCAUCUUCCCGCCCUUUCUUUUGUUUCUUUCACUCACCCCCCCAUCCCAAUGAAUUCGUACAUGACAAGAAACAGUGAUCUGAACUGCAAAUUUCACAUCAUUUAUUGAAUAUAGGCCAAUAUUGCUGUUAUGAUUUGCAUCUUGCUCGAGUCAAAGUUCUGCUGGCUGAAAACAGCUUUCCCUUAACCAUAUUAGCUCUGUCAUCUCCCAGCAGCAACAACAAAUGGCAGCAAAAAAGAAACUUCAGAGUGCUUUUUCAUCCGCUGAUUCCUAUUUCCAGGUAGUCAGGUAUUGUGAACGCGACUGAAAGCAGAAUAUUUUUCAUGGUUUUUAGUCUUUCAGCCCCUGACUAAUAAGCCUUCUUCAUUGUCAAAAGGGAGGGAACUGAUGAACCUGUUGUACAUUGAGCCUCGUAUUUCUAGCCCAAGAAGGUAGGUUUUCCAGCUUGGUUAUACCAGUUCUUUGGGAUGGAACAGAGAAGGAUCAACCAGGUCAUUGUCAUCUUGGGGCAAAGAUAGAGUUUGCAAAGCUCAAAUAAUUUGAUCACUGUGGUGCUGGAAGGGAAUUAUUUUCCCAGGGCAGCCAGAAAUCAACUGCUGUGUGGUCAGUUUGACCUAAUAACUCUGCUGGGAUUUCAGACAAUUUUAAGAAUUAUUCUUAUUCAGUAUUUAAAUGGCAGGUUUUUUGGUAUUGUAUGAAGGAAAGACAUUUUGAUUUCAAGAAAUUGAACAGGAGCUAAACUGAAACUACAUUAUUCAACUUUUUUUUUGAGCAUGGGAUUUUUAAAGAGUAAACAAGUAAAUUUUAAAUAGACAAAGAGCACCCUCCUGAAGCAGUGGCAGCUGCCCUAGAAAACAGGUGCUAGAGCCAGAGGAGAGUGAAAACUCUCUUAUGCUCACAAGGGAAAUGAUUUAUCAGUGACAUAGAUUAUACCAUGGGCAGGUUAUCCUUCUAAGUAAAAUCCUCCUUUUUUUCUGGGAAAUGGGGGCAAAUGCGGAAAAGAAGGAAAUAAACCUAUUGUGUCAGAGAUAGCUUCCUGGGAUCAGAUGUCCCCCUGCAUGAACCUUUGCAUGCAUUUAUAUAACGGUAUUUUUCUUUGACAGGGCACAAAUGAACUCAGCAACUCAGUUAUUACUAUGCCAGAGCUUUAUAACAUUCUUUAUGUGCUUCUCAAUAUGAUUGUGUAUUUCCUGUCUUUAUACAUGCCUCUCUAUGUGUAAGUGUUGAAACGUUAUUCUUCUGCUAUUGUGGCCAAUAUCAGCUGGAAUUUUGUCAUUUCUUUGAGGAAGAGAGGUCAAAUUGAUAUUUGUUACUGAGAAAUGUUUCUUCACAUAAUGUGAGACCCUGUGCAUCACUCAGUGCUCCUGUGAAGGAAGAAGCAUCCCCAAAAUCACACAUAGUCAAAGGCAAUUGAAAGAAACUCACUUUGUAAGGUUAUGGUCUUUUCUACAUCCCACCAUGGAUCUUGAUGUCUUUUCUGCUCUAAAAUCAUGUUACUAAAGGACAUAUAUGAGACAGCAGGUCAAAUUGGAAGAAAUGCACCAUUUAAAUCUGAAAAGAGCCUCUAGCUACAAUGGGGUCAACACCUCAGAAUACAAGAAAAAACAUUUUUAUAGCAACACUCAAUAGAAUUUAUCAUUUCUUUUUAAUUCAAACCAGAACAAGCCCAAAAGUAAGGGGUAGAAGGGAAAGUAGAGUAACAAAUGUGAGGGGAAAAGAAACAGCAGGAAAGCUAUAGAGGACACAAGGUGAAAUAGUGUUGCACAGAAAAAAACAAAUAUGCUUCUCUGCAACAAAUACAGCAGGAAGCCUAACAAAAAACCCCACAAAAGCUUAAAUGAGCACAGCUGCAGUACAGGGACUGUGCAUGAUAAAGUGUGACGGGACAAGGAGACUAGAUACAAUGACU
Molecule: long non-coding RNA, 3077 nt
Organism: Corvus hawaiiensis (hawaiian crow)
Lineage: Eukaryota; Metazoa; Chordata; Aves; Passeriformes; Corvidae
Exons: 5
Source: RefSeq, a predicted model, not a curated record